UGUCGAGCGGUAGAGAGAAGCUUGCUUCUCUUGAGAGCGGCGGACGGGUGAGUAAUGCCUAGGAAUCUGCCUGGUAGUGGGGGAUAACGUUCGGAAACGGACGCUAAUACCGCAUACGUCCUACGGGAGAAAGCAGGGGACCUUCGGGCCUUGCGCUAUCAGAUGAGCCUAGGUCGGAUUAGCUAGUUGGUGAGGUAAUGGCUCACCAAGGCGACGAUCCGUAACUGGUCUGAGAGGAUGAUCAGUCACACUGGAACUGAGACACGGUCCAGACUCCUACGGGAGGCAGCAGUGGGGAAUAUUGGACAAUGGGCGAAAGCCUGAUCCAGCCAUGCCGCGUGUGUGAAGAAGGUCUUCGGAUUGUAAAGCACUUUAAGUUGGGAGGAAGGGCAGUUACCUAAUACGUGAUUGUUUUGACGUUACCGACAGAAUAAGCACCGGCUAACUCUGUGCCAGCAGCCGCGGUAAUACAGAGGGUGCAAGCGUUAAUCGGAAUUACUGGGCGUAAAGCGCGCGUAGGUGGUUAGUUAAGUUGGAUGUGAAAUCCCCGGGCUCAACCUGGGAACUGCAUUCAAAACUGACUGACUAGAGUAUGGUAGAGGGUGGUGGAAUUUCCUGUGUAGCGGUGAAAUGCGUAGAUAUAGGAAGGAACACCAGUGGCGAAGGCGACCACCUGGACUGAUACUGACACUGAGGUGCGAAAGCGUGGGGAGCAAACAGGAUUAGAUACCCUGGUAGUCCACGCCGUAAACGAUGUCAACUAGCCGUUGGGAGCCUUGAGCUCUUAGUGGGCGCAGCUAACGCAUUAAGUUGACCGCCUGCGGAGUACGGCCGCAAGGGUUAAAACUCAAAUGAAUUGACGGGGGGCCCGCACAAGCGGUGGAGCAUGUGGGUUUAAUUCGAAGCAAC
Molecule: ribosomal RNA, 909 nt
Filed under: uncultured Pseudomonas sp.
Lineage: Bacteria; Pseudomonadati; Pseudomonadota; Gammaproteobacteria; Pseudomonadales; Pseudomonadaceae
Description: bacterial SSU rRNA
Rfam family: Bacterial small subunit ribosomal RNA
Source: RNAcentral